This 193-nucleotide unclassified non-coding RNA is filed under the name uncultured fungus. Its description in RNAcentral is "sequence contains ITS1". Lineage: Eukaryota; Fungi. The record is from RNAcentral.
GUAUUUAGAAUUAUUUCAUUCAAAAAUAGCUUCAGACAAAAAAAAUUGCAAUAAAAAAGUUGGUAUUAUGUGCAUGGCACGUCACUGAAGCGACGCGUAUAGCACAAACAUUUCACACAAGGUGAGUACUUGUUUAAAAAGUGCAGUAGAACACUUGUUAUGAAUGAUCCUUCUGCAGGUUCACCUAUGGAAA